Molecule: non-coding RNA, 125 nt
Filed under: Pseudo-nitzschia fraudulenta
Lineage: Eukaryota; Bacillariophyta; Bacillariophyceae; Bacillariales; Bacillariaceae
Source: RNAcentral
GAGACAGAAAAGAGAAAGGAAGACUGAAGCAAACCCGACCGACAAAAACCGAAAAGGAUUUUUGUAUUUAUUUUAUUAUCCAACAUUAUUAUUAUAUAUUAUAUAUCAUUGUCAUUGUUAUUAUU